This 459-nucleotide ribosomal RNA is filed under the name uncultured bacterium. Its description in RNAcentral is "bacterial SSU rRNA". It matches the Rfam family "Bacterial small subunit ribosomal RNA", at positions 8 to 496 of the family's 1533-position model. The record is from RNAcentral.
AGAGUUUGAUCCUGGCUCAGGAUGAACGCUGGCGGCGUGCCUAACACAUGCAAGUCGAGCGAACUCUUCGGAGUGAGCGGCGGACGGGUGAGUAACGCGUGGGUAACCUGCCCUGUACACAUGGAUAACAUACCGAAAGGUAUGCUAAUACAAGAUAAAAUAUAUUUAUCGCAUGAUAGAUAUAUCAAAGCGUUAGCGGUACAGGAUGGACCCGCGUCUGAUUAGCUAGUUGGUAAGGUAAAGGCUUACCAAGGCGACGAUCAGUAGCCGACCUGAGAGGGUGAUCGGCCACAUUGGAACUGAGACACGGUCCAAACUCCUACGGGAGGCAGCAGUGGGGAAUAUUGCACAAUGGGCGAAAGCCUGAUGCAGCAACGCCGCGUGAGCGAUGAAGGCCUUCGGGUCGUAAAGCUCUGUCCUCAAGGAAGAUAAUGACGGUACUUGAGGAGGAAGCCCCGG